This 114-nucleotide ribosomal RNA is filed under the name Lepisosteus oculatus (spotted gar). The record is from RNAcentral. Lineage: Eukaryota; Metazoa; Chordata; Actinopteri; Semionotiformes; Lepisosteidae.
GCCAGCAGCCAUAUCACCCUGCAACUCACAACUGGCACUGAAGCUCAGCAGGUGUGAGCCUGGUCAGUACCUGGAUGGGAAACCUCCUUGGAAAAACUAAGGUUGCUGCUGGAA